GCACAAAGACACACACCCACACACUCACACGCAUGUCCAAACCACCGGUCCAAGUCAACCGUGCUUUCUUCUAUCCAAUUCCAAAUAUAUACCUCUGCUCAGUCUUCUCUACCCCAUCUUCUUCCUUCUCUCUCUCUCUCAUUCUCAUUCUCAUACGUUUCAAUUCCUUAACUUUUUUGCUUGUACCUAAAACUCUGGAAUCCAAUGAGAAAGCCUUGUUGUGAUAAGCAAGACACCAACAAAGGCGCUUGGUCUAAGCAAGAAGACCAGAAGCUCAUUGAUUACAUUCGUAAACAUGGGGAAGGUUGCUGGCGAACCCUCCCUCAAGCUGCAGGUUUGUAUAUUGUAAUCCUACCUUCACCCACAUUUUUUCGCCAUACCCACAUCCAUAUAUAUAAUAUUAUGGAGUGGGUAUUGAUUUUUGUUUUCAUGCUUCUCAGGACUGCUUCGCUGUGGCAAAAGUUGUAGGCUGAGAUGGAUAAACUAUCUUAGGCCUGACCUUAAAAGAGGAAACUUUGCUGAAGAUGAAGAGGACCUUAUUAUCAAGCUUCAUGCGCUUCUCGGAAACAGGUGGUCUCUAAUAGCUGGAAGAUUGCCUGGACGCACCGACAAUGAAGUAAAGAAUUACUGGAAUUCACAUUUAAGAAGAAAGCUUAUGAACAUGGGAAUUGAUCCGAAUAACCAUCGUUUGAACCAAAAUCUUCCUCGUCUUCAAAACCCACAAGACUCUUCUAGUGCAACGUCCUCUGGUAUGAAAAGUGACACCACCAAACCCCACAAUGAUAAUAAUAAUAAUAAUAGUAAUGAGCAAGCAUCUGAUGCAGCUAGUUGUUUGGAGGAUGGCCCAAGUGCUUUGCCUGACCUAAACCUUGACCUCACAAUGAGCAUUCCUUCCUCUACAUCUGCCAAUAUCAGUCCUGAAGAGAAGCAAAAGAUUACUGAAUCUAAUUUAUCAAAGGAACCAGAAGUUGCUGCUGCUUCUCCUACGCUUCUCCUCUUUCAGUAAUUACCUGCUGCUCUUGUAAGGACCAUCCUAAUGAGGUGGAACUGAUAUAGAUAGAUAAUUGGGAUAUGUCUUCUCACUGUAAAUCUUUGAUUGUUUGGAAAAAUAUGGCAAUCCAUUAAUUUCCGGAAAGUGUGAACAAAGACGAGAAGCCUGGAAGCAACCCAGUCAAGGAAAGAUGACAACUGAGAGAGUUCUAUUACUUCAAACCUCUUUGUUGCUCUUACCUAGCGGUGGUAUCAUGAUCCUGUGCCUUCAAAUUAAAUGUUACCAAAAGCUCUGAUGGCAUAUUGAUCAUGCACAGUAAAUGGGCAUGAUUUCAAGAAGUUGAACUUUUCAAUUUUAACUUUCUUGUAUAUCAUCAUUUGCCAUUGUAGAAUAAGUAUUUAGGUGAUUAUUCUAGCAUAUAUGAUGUAUUAAUAAGAGAUAUAGCUCAGUUGUUGAAUAUGUGAAACUUUUUUUAAUUAUGGUUUCAUCUUAUUCUUCAUCCUAAAUGUUGUUUUGGUUCUAACGUAAGUAUAAUUUAAUUUCUAGUUUCA
This 1542-nucleotide unclassified non-coding RNA is filed under the name Hevea brasiliensis (rubber tree). Lineage: Eukaryota; Viridiplantae; Streptophyta; Magnoliopsida; Malpighiales; Euphorbiaceae. The record is from RNAcentral.